This 466-nucleotide ribosomal RNA is filed under the name uncultured bacterium. RNAcentral's name for it is "partial 16S ribosomal RNA". It matches the Rfam family "Bacterial small subunit ribosomal RNA", at positions 28 to 507 of the family's 1533-position model. The record is from RNAcentral.
GAUGAACGCUGGCGGCGUGCUUAACACAUGCAAGUCGAACGGAAAGGCCCAAGCUUGCUUGGGUGCUCGAGUGGCGAACGGGUGAGUAACACGUGGGUGAUCUGCCCUGCACUUUGGGAUAAGCCUGGGAAACUGGGUCUAAUACCGGAUAGGACCAUCGUUUAGUGUCGGUGGUGGAAAGUUUUUCGGUGUGGGAUGAGCUCGCGGCCUAUCAGCUUGUUGGUGGGGUAAUGGCCUACCAAGGCGUCGACGGGUGGCCGGCCUGAGAGGGUGUACGGCCACAUUGGGACUGAGAUACGGCCCAGACUCCUACGGGAGGCAGCAGUGGGGAAUAUUGCACAAUGGGCGCAAGCCUGAUGCAGCGACGCCGCGUGGGGGAUGACGGCCUUCGGGUUGUAAACUCCUUUCGCCAAGGACGAAGCGUUUUGUGACGGUACUUGGAGAAGAAGCACCGGCUAACUACGUG